This 241-nucleotide ribosomal RNA is filed under the name uncultured Staphylococcus sp. RNAcentral's name for it is "partial 16S ribosomal RNA". It matches the Rfam family "Bacterial small subunit ribosomal RNA", at positions 100 to 334 of the family's 1533-position model. Lineage: Bacteria; Bacillati; Bacillota; Bacilli; Caryophanales; Staphylococcaceae. The record is from RNAcentral.
GGGACGGGUGAGUAACACGUGGAUAACCUACCUAUAAGACUGGGAUAACUUCGGGAAACCGGAGCUAAUACCGGAUAAUAUUUUGAACCGCAUGGUUCAAAAGUGAAAGACGGUCUUGCUGUCACUUAUAGAUGGAUUCGCGCUGCAUUAGCUAGUUGGUAAGGUAACGGCUUACCAAGGCAACGAUGCAUAGCCGACCUGAGAGGGUGAUCGGCCACACUGGAACUGAGACACGGUCCAG